UAAUAUAACAGCGACAACAACAUUAACGGGGAAGAGAUUGGGAAGAGAAAUUUGUUACUACCACAGAAUAAACUUACCAACUUAAAAACUACAAAUAUAUUUGAAAAUGGCUCUUGAAGGCAUCGAUUUUAGAGUUGAUGCUGUUCUUCCUGCUGGUGGAAUCGGGCAAAGAAUGGGCUUAGAGACACCUAAACAGUUUGUAAAAGUUUGUGGGAGAUCACUGAUAUGCUAUGCACUGGAUACAUUUGAAAGUGUUCCGUGGAUUAAAAAGAUUGCUGUUCCUGUCUCUAAAGAGUGGACAUCACACAUGGAACAGAUAAUCAAAGAAGAGGGAUAUUCAAAAAUUGUGUUAUGUGAAGGAAAGCAUACAAGACAUAGAAGUAUUUAUGAAGGGGUAAAAUCGCUAGAAGCGGAAGAUGGCAGUCCUCAUGUGGUAAUUAUCCAUGAUGCCGUGCGACCUUUGAUUGACGAGGAUAUACUUGUCGCAGUCGCAAAAGCAGCCAAUGAACAUGGCGCAAGUGGUGCUGUUCGCAAACUUGUUUCAACCAUUUUAGUUACCGACAAAAACGAAAUGCUGGACCACUCCCUUGUUCGAUCAAAAUGUAGAGCGAGUGAGAUGCCACAAGCCUUCCAAUAUAAUGUGAUAAGUGAGGCCUACUUAAAGAGCUCUGAAGAUGACUUUGAUAAUGGUACCGAAUGUUUGCACCUUGCUCUUGAAUACACAUGGGCAAAACCAAAAUUGGUUGAAGGAACAACAGAUUUAUGGAAGGUCACAUACCAGAACGACUUGGAAACUUUUGAGAAAACGAUAAAGGAAAGAACAAGGAAGAAUAUUUCAUUUUGGAAUAUUGAAAAUGAAGCCCCGCCUUUUUGGAACCAAAUUAUAGAAUUUUUUCAUCAUAAAGGAUAUAAAACAUCAAAAAUAUUGAAAACAGAUUGCGAAAUCAUUCCUUCAAGUGAAGAGUCUUCAUCAAACUGUACUUCAAAAUUUGGAAGUCAUCAAAAACCGUCGUUGGUAUGCUUUGCGGACUAUUUUUACCGUUGCGGCAAAGAAAUAGAGCAUCUCCAGCAUAAUUACUUCAAAGUGUUUAUAUUGUACCACUGCGAGUCGCUGGCUGAAAUUUAUGCAGGGAUCAAAAUGUAGAGCGAGUGAGAUGCCACAAGCCUUCCAAUAUAAUGUGAUAAGUGAGGCCUACUUAAAGAGCUCUGAAGAUGACUUUGAUAAUGGUACCGAAUGUUUGCACCUUGCUCUUGAAUACACAUGGGCAAAACCAAAAUUGGUUGAAGGAACAACAGAUUUAUGGAAGGUUUGUCUUCCUUUCAAAUGCAUUCUAUCAUACGACUUUAUCAACACUACACAGUCAACAUUACCACCAUUAUCCACGGAGUGAAUCGACGUCUUUAGAAAGUGUGAAUCGAUGUCUUUAGGAAGUAUAUCCCUUUGCUCAUUGCCUACGUUUUUAAGGAUGCUUUGUUUAGCGGCAUGAGACAGUUUUUCCAGCAACAUUGUCUCACAACAUAAUAGACUUGGAGCUGAAAAGAAUCGAGGAUGCCAAAUUUCCUUUUUCCUGCUUGAUUAUUGGUAAUUCGCCUCUCUUUUUUACAUACUAAUAUUAGCAUCAUUUCCCUUGAAUUGAAAUUAGCAGCAUGAAUCAAUACCUCUUGAUACCUCUUAGUGCUCCAAUCAAACAAUUCUUAGAAAUGUAUUGCAAUUUUUAAAUGUGAUGUAGGUAGAAUUCGUUAUACGUGCUACGAAACUUCACGAUUAACUCAAAAUGGAGAUGCUGGUUUAUAUCUUAAAGCCCUUUCCCCUUUCCUAUAGCAAUUUAAAUCUGAAAUACGUUAGAUCAAGAAUCUGAAAUAGGUAUAACUACGAUUUUUUUUUCUUUAGUGUUUUUAAUGUUAGUUUGUAUUCUAUUACACACCCUCACCAAUGAUUUUUAAAAGUUCAAUCAAAUUAAAGCAAAUUAAAACAAAGAUUAAAUCAAAGCCAUGAAUUAAUAAAGAUUCCAACAUUGAUAAGACUUUGUGAUCAACAACUAUUUAGGAAAAUGAACAAAAAAAUUCAGAAAGCGACAUCAAGUAUUAUAAGAAUUUCAGAAUCCGAUUAGCUCAUGAAUGGAAGGAAGUAGAACAAACUACUUUCAAAACUAUUUUCGUAUGAAAUUAUUAAUUUCAAAAAGCAGUAGAAUGAAACUAAAUCGAUGUUCUGACUUAAAAGCUAUGAUUCGUCAAAUAUAAAUAGCAUUGGAAGUAAGUAUGCGAAUACAGUCCCAAAUGACAAAUAUAGUCAAUUAAUGCCAAGACAACCAACAUCUCUACUCACUUACCUCACUACUCACUUCUUUUCUCUCUGUCAUUUCUAUAAAAGUUGAAAACCUAAGAUAAAUUUUAACAUCUCUGAAUUUGUAGGGCCUGAGCAAAUUAAUAAAAAGUCCUUAAACAUCACAUUUCUUCUCCUCCAGCUAAACUGGUCAACUAAUCAUUUUUUUGAAGGAUUAUUCCCAGAUAAUUUUCCGAUUUGCGAUCAUUGAUUUAGUAAAUGUUACCGAUUUUCAGUAGACAUUAAUUUAACUUUCAGGAAAUCCAAUUGAUCGUGCAUCGAUUAGUAUGCCUGAGGCUAUUAGAAGCACCCUUGACAAUAAAAAAUCUGGGUUGCGUAUUUAUUCGCUUACAAAAAGCAUUCGAUACUGUCAUAUUCAUGAUCCUACGAGUCAUGUAUUCUACUGUUAAAACUUGGGUAUCAUUGGGUAAGAGCUACUACAAUCUAUUGGUUUCAGGCUUACGUAGCAGGUAGAAAUUAGUAUGUUUCGAUAAAUCUUUUGACUACACUAAACCCACACUUAAAUCUCUACCACUAUUAUAAUCACUGCGUAGAAUAAUCUUUUGUCAAUUAAUCUACGCUUUUUUCUGUUCGAAAUCAACUGUGGCGUGUUUUAGGGAUCUGUCCCCAGACACAUCCCUUUAUUUGAUCCAUAAAUGACUUACCUAGUGUUUCGAUGAAGCCAAAAUUCUAUCUUUUUGCUUGUGACACAAAUAUUUACGAAUCUUAAGAAAUUUGAAGAGCUUAAAGAGCUCAAAGUUUGAUAAAGCAUUGAAAUGUGUAAUAAGAUUGCAUGAGGCGAAUUGACUCUCGCGUGAUUAACUAUUCUCCUCAAGCGUGGUCCUCAAAACGUCUUUAAUUUAUAUAUUAAUGAUUUAUUUCUAAUGGUAACUGAUACUGCAGUAUGUAACUUUGCUGAUGAUACUACGAUUUUUGCAGCUGACUGUCAAUUAGAUAAAGUUUUAGAACGGCUAGAAACUGAUGCUCUUAUUUUAUCAAAAUGGUUUCCAGAAAACUUUAUGAAAUUGAAUGCAGGGAAAUGUCAUCUUCUUACUUUUGGAACAAAUCAAGAUGACUUUAAGAUCAAAAUCGGUGAGGCCAUUGUUGAAGAAAGCUCUGAAGAAAAACUGCUAGGGGUGAUAAUAGAUAAAAAUCUUAAUUUCAAAAGUCACGUCUCAAAUUUAUGCAAAAGAGCCAGCCAAAAACUGCAUGCUCUUGCUAGAUUUACGCCAUUUAUGGGUUCUGAUAAACUGCGUCUCCUAAUGAACAGCUUCAUAAAAGCUCAGUUUAGUUACUGCCCCCUAAUUUGGAUGUUCCAUGACAGAUGUCUGAAUGCUAAAGUAAAUAAAAUCCACGAAAGAGCACUCAGAAUUGUUUAUAAAGACAGUGAUGCUGACUACGAAGCAUUGCUGACUUUGGAUAAUGCAGUAUCAAUUCACCAACGCAAUCUACAGUACUUGAUGAUAGAAAUAUACAAAACCAAACAUAACCUGAACCCUAGUUUCAUGAGUGAGAUUUUUGAAACAAGAAAUGUACAUUAUGAUUUGCGAACUAAAAAUAAUCUUUGCAUUCCAAA
This is a non-coding RNA of Rhopilema esculentum, 3899 nucleotides long. The record is from RefSeq and is a predicted model, not a curated record. Lineage: Eukaryota; Metazoa; Cnidaria; Scyphozoa; Rhizostomeae; Rhizostomatidae.